This 177-nucleotide non-coding RNA is filed under the name Burkholderiales bacterium. RNAcentral's name for it is "6S RNA". It matches the Rfam family "6S / SsrS RNA". Rfam says of the family: E. coli 6S RNA was the first non coding RNA to be sequenced, but its function was unknown until recently. The record is from RNAcentral. Lineage: Bacteria; Pseudomonadati; Pseudomonadota; Betaproteobacteria; Burkholderiales.
UAUCCCCUGCGGUGUUCGUGUCAGCCAUAUAUUCUUUGAACCAAUGCUUUUAGCUAGGCUGCCGACUUCGGAGACUGGUGUUUGCUUUCGUCUGUUGAAAGUGUCUGAAAGUCUCGUCACGCAGCCAUCUUGGACUCAGGUUCAAGAUGAGGCUAAGACGACACAGGCGGGGGACUC